This 586-nucleotide ribosomal RNA is filed under the name uncultured bacterium. RNAcentral's name for it is "partial 16S ribosomal RNA". It matches the Rfam family "Bacterial small subunit ribosomal RNA", at positions 355 to 1375 of the family's 1533-position model. The record is from RNAcentral.
UGGGGAAUUUUGGACAAUGGGCGAAAGCCGAUCCAGCAAUGCCGCGUGUGUGAAGAAGGCCUUCGGGUUGUAAAGCACUUUUGUCCGGAAAGAAAUCCUUGGCUCUAAUACAGUCGGGGGAUGACGGUACCGGAAGAAUAAGCACCGGCUAACUACGUGCCAGCAGCCGCGGUAAUACGUAGGGUGCAAGCGUUAAUCGGAAUUACUGGGCGUAAAGCGUGCGCAGGCGGUUUGCUAAGACCGAUGUGAAAUCCCCGGGCUCAACCUGGGAACUGCAUUGGUGACUGGCAGGCUAGAGUAUGGCAGAGGGGGGUAGAAUUCCACGUGUAGCAGUGAAAUGCGUAGAGAUGUGGAGGAAUACCGAUGGCGAAGGCAGCCCCCUGGGCCAAAUACUGACGCUCAUGCACGAAAGCGUGGGGAGCAAACAGGAUUAGAUACCCUGGUAGUCCACGCCCUAAAACGAUGUCAACUAGUUGUUGGGGAUUCAUUUCCUUAGUAACGUAGCUAACGCGUGAAGUUGACCGCCUGGGGAGUACGGUCGCAAGAUUAAAACUCAAAUGAAUUGACGGGGUCAUAGCUGUUUCCU